GAUGAACGCUGGCGGCGUGCCUAAUACAUGCAAGUCGAGCGAACAGACGAGGAGCUUGCUCCUCUGACGUUAGCGGCGGACGGGUGAGUAACACGUGGAUAACCUACCUAUAAGACUGGGAUAACCUCGGGAAACCGGAGCUAAUCCCGGAUAAUAUAUUGAACCGCAUUGUUCAAUAGUGAAAUACGGCUUUGCUGUCACUUCUAGAUGGAUCCGCGCCGCAUUAGCUAGUUGUUAAGGUAAUGGCUUACCACGGCAACGAUGGGUAGCCGACCUGAGAGGGUGAACGGCCACACUGGAAGUGAGACACGUUCCAGAGUCCUACGGGAGGCAGCAGUAGGGAAUCUUCCGCAAUGGGCGAAAGCCUGACGGAGCAACGGCGCGUGAGUGAUGAAGGUCUUCGGAUCGUAAAACUCUGUUAUUAGGUAAGAACAAAUGUGUAAGGAACUAUGCACGUCUUGACGGUAACUAAUCAGAAAGCCACGGCUAACUACGUG
This 497-nucleotide ribosomal RNA is filed under the name uncultured bacterium. RNAcentral's name for it is "partial 16S ribosomal RNA". It matches the Rfam family "Bacterial small subunit ribosomal RNA", at positions 28 to 507 of the family's 1533-position model. The record is from RNAcentral.